RNAcentral lists this ribosomal RNA (260 nucleotides) under uncultured bacterium. RNAcentral describes it as "partial 16S ribosomal RNA". It matches the Rfam family "Bacterial small subunit ribosomal RNA", at positions 793 to 1055 of the family's 1533-position model. The record is from RNAcentral.
GUCCACGCCCUAACGAUGGAUACUAAGUGUCGGCGGGUUACCGCCGGUGCCGCAGCUAACGCAGUAAGUAUCCCGCCUGGGGAGUACGGCCGCAAGGUUGAAACUCAAAGGAAUUGACGGGGCCCGCACAAGCGGUGGAGCAUGUGGUUCAAUUCGACGCAACGCGAAGAACCUUACCCAGGCUGUACAAGCAGGUAGUAAAACCUGAAAGGGCAAUGAGGUAGCAAUACCAUCCUGCUCAGGUGCUGCAUGGCUGUCGU